CCGAUCCGAUAAGAUCUGCCAGGAGUUUUGGGCGAAAAUCGCAAACAGACCUAUCUCCUCUACCCUGCACGGUAAAUCUGCCCUCAAGCUCCAGAGCCGAGACUCCUACCACGCUCUGGAAUGGAGAGCCACAUGGGAAAAACCCUACCUAGCCGCCCACGUUCCCGAUGAGUAUCCUGGAGAGUUACCCAACAUCGUGCUUGAGAACCUGCUGAGAUCUGAAGGAAGAUCCGUGAUCCUGC
Non-coding RNA from Pelobates cultripes (western spadefoot toad), 242 nucleotides. Lineage: Eukaryota; Metazoa; Chordata; Amphibia; Anura; Pelobatidae. The record is from the annotation of a GenBank genome assembly.